UAGUUUGUAUGGGUCAGGAAUUUGGAAGAGCUUGGCAGGGCCUCUCAUGAGGUCGCAGUUAGGAUUUUGGUGAGGGCCGUGGCUAUCCAGAGGCCUCAUUGGCACUGGAAGAUUCACAUCCAAGAUGCUUCACUCACAGGUGCUGGUUGUUGGAAGUUCUUCAUGGACUGCUUGAGUGUCCUCGUGACGUGGAGCCUGGCUUCCCCCAGAGUGAGCAGCCCAAGAGAAAGAGCGUGGAGGAAGCCACAGUGCGUUUUAUGACCUCGGCUUGAGGUCACAUGCUAUUACUUCCACCAUAUUUUAUUUUUCAGAGAGUAGUCAAUAAUUCUGGCCCACACUCAAGGGGAGAAGAAUUAGGCUCCACUUUUUGAGGGAAGAAUGGUCAGAGAAUUUGUGGUUAAACCAUCAUGGUCACCAGGAAAAAUGUAUCUGUUAUCUUGGAGGAAGACUUCUAGGCCUCGCCUAUUAGUGCUUCGCUGGCUCCGGCUGGAGGAGGCGUUGAGAUGGGAAGAAGAUUCAAGGCCAGGAGAAGUCACAAGGAAGGCAUAGAGAUGGAGGUCUCUGGGCUGCCAGGUGACAAAGUGUUAAGGGAGAGGCAUUCAUGACGUUCCUCCAAGGAAGCUGCAGCAAGUUACAAAUAAUUUUGCCCUAGAAAAAGAAAAUGAUCUGGACGUUUUAGGAAUUAUUGGACACUGAUUCUCUCUGAACUAAUGCUAAUCAUUAGGGUUCCAGAAAAAUCACCACAAUCCAGCAUUUUGAUCUGAAGUUGUUUGAAAUCACAGAUGUGGAAUCCAUGGAUAUGAAGGGCUGACUGUGUAUCACAUGUUUUGUGGAACAGAGAUUUAUCCAUAUUGAGCAUAUUCAUAUACAUAAUGCCAAAUUCCUAGAAGAAGUCUUAUUUGGGUCAUCCUAGUGCUUGGAAUCCUAUUCUAUAUCUGCUCAUUUUAGAAUCUGUGAAGAAUCUGUCCCCCACCCCAUAUUCCCAGAACCAUAUUAACUAGUGGCUUAUGAAGCAGCACAGGACACAAUAUGUUGAUUGAUACCCAUUUUGCAAUCAAGGAAAUUGAGGACCAUAUGGGCUAGGUAAC
This is a non-coding RNA of Microcebus murinus (gray mouse lemur), 1088 nucleotides long. The record is from RefSeq and is a predicted model, not a curated record. NCBI's taxonomy places the organism in Eukaryota, Metazoa, Chordata, Mammalia, Primates, Cheirogaleidae.